Sorex fumeus (smoky shrew) is the source of this 270-nucleotide long non-coding RNA. RefSeq lists it as uncharacterized. The record is from RefSeq and is a predicted model, not a curated record. Lineage: Eukaryota; Metazoa; Chordata; Mammalia; Eulipotyphla; Soricidae. The transcript has 5 exons.
CGCGGCGCCACCCCCCCACCCCAGCCGCCGCGCCUGAUUCCGGGGGUCUUCCGCGCCCGCAGGAUCCUUGCUACCUGAUUGACAGAAUUGUCCUCCCUGACUUUUGAUUGCUUACACCUCUGAUGGUGACCCCUGUUUCUGGUCACAUCUAAAAUUCCUCUGUCUUGCAGACUAAGGCAUUUGCAUAGGAAUCAGAGGAGCUAAUCUUAUAUGCAAGUUCUUUUCUUGCAGGCUGUGGUCCUUCAGAUCCAGAAAGACCCCUUGUCCAUC